Molecule: long non-coding RNA, 637 nt
Filed under: Pan troglodytes (chimpanzee)
Lineage: Eukaryota; Metazoa; Chordata; Mammalia; Primates; Hominidae
Description: lincRNA
Source: RNAcentral
AAAUGAAAACUCAUAGAUAUCUUUAAACUAAUUGGAUACCUUAUAAAGAUUAUAGCAAAUGGGUGUGGUAUUUUUAUGUGGCAACAUAAUAAUUUUAGCCAUCAAACUAGCACUAUUCUACAGUAAUGUUGAAGGUGGAUGAAGUAUAUUGAACGAGUUUAUGUUGCACAGAAUACAAAAAGUGGAAGGCUGAAUAAAAAACAAGCUCCUGUUCAAGUGACCUCACUGCUUUCUGAUGACCCCCACUGGCUAUGCCACAUUUCUGGUGCUGAAUGGAUGCACAACACGUCCGUACUCAUCUGGGCUUCGAUGCAGUUGUUCAAUUUGAAAAGUAAAGCAGUACUUUAAUGGUCCCUUCAGUUCUCACACUCAGUGUUUCAAUAUUUGUCCUGUUCUACCUGGCUUGUAAUCAAUCCUAAAACUUCCUCACAUUUCCAGAUGAUGGAAUGAACAAUCCUGCGUAUGGCUUCAAAACUGAAAACUCAGAACUUAAGGCUCUGGUCUGAAGUGGCCACAGUUCAUCUCUGGCCUUGACAAGCCAUUUGUUGGCCGUGGAACUCAUUACUUGAAAGAGAUUUGCUACAGCUCCUGUUAUGGUGCCUUUAGAAGAAAUAAAGAUCUCCUGCCUCACUUCCAA